Molecule: small RNA, 142 nt
Filed under: Paenibacillus macerans
Lineage: Bacteria; Bacillati; Bacillota; Bacilli; Caryophanales; Paenibacillaceae
Description: c-di-AMP sequence
Rfam family: c-di-AMP riboswitch aptamer (ydaO/yuaA leader)
About the family: This family represents a conserved RNA structure found upstream of the ydaO and yuaA genes in Bacillus subtilis and related genes in other bacteria. The ydaO/yuaA element is thought to act as a genetic "off" switch for the ydaO and yuaA genes in its native state.
Source: Rfam by way of RNAcentral
UACAUGAAACUGCCGAAUUCCCCGCACCCGGGAAACGGGGGAACCACAUCAGUCAGGGUGAAUUGAUCCCGCUUCAAAGGGAUCAUAGGGAGCCUUCAACCGAAUCCUUAAGCUAACCUCGCAGGCCUUGGAAGGAGUUAGA